UACGCAGGCGGAAAAUUAAGUCAGUGGUGAAAUCCUGCAGCUUAGCUGUAGAACUGUCAUUGAUACUGGUUUUCUUGAAUAUAGUUGAGGUAGGCGGAAUGUGUAAUGUAGCGGUGAAAUGCUUAGAUAUUACACAGAACACCGAUUGCGAAGGCAGCUUACUAAGCUAUGAUUGACGCUGAGGCACGAAAGCGUGGGGAGCGAACAGGAUUAGAUACCCUGGUAGUCC
RNAcentral lists this ribosomal RNA (229 nucleotides) under uncultured bacterium. RNAcentral describes it as "partial 16S ribosomal RNA". It matches the Rfam family "Bacterial small subunit ribosomal RNA", at positions 568 to 796 of the family's 1533-position model. The record is from RNAcentral.